Molecule: ribosomal RNA, 465 nt
Filed under: Vreelandella stevensii
Lineage: Bacteria; Pseudomonadati; Pseudomonadota; Gammaproteobacteria; Oceanospirillales; Halomonadaceae
Description: partial 16S ribosomal RNA
Rfam family: Bacterial small subunit ribosomal RNA
Source: RNAcentral
CCUACGGGUGGCUGCAGUGGGGAAUAUUGGACAAUGGGGGCAACCCUGAUCCAGCCAUGCCGCGUGUGUGAAGAAGGCCCUCGGGUUGUAAAGCACUUUCAGUGAGGAAGAACGCCUGGUGGUUAAUACCCAUCAGGAAAGACAUCACUCACAGAAGAAGCACCGGCUAACUCCGUGCCAGCAGCCGCGGUAAUACGGAGGGUGCGAGUGUUAAUCGGAAUUACUGGGCGUAAAGCGCGCGUAGGUGGCUUGAUAAGCCGGUUGUGAAAGCCCCGGGCUCAACCUGGGAACGGCAUCCGGAACUGUCAAGCUAGAGUGCAGGAGAGGAAGGUAGAAUUCCCGGUGUAGCGGUGAAAUGCGUAGAGAUCGGGAGGAAUACCAGUGGCGAAGGCGGCCUUCUGGACUGACACUGACACUGAGGUGCGAAAGCGUGGGUAGCAAACAGGAUUAGAUACCCGAGUAGUC